This 1537-nucleotide ribosomal RNA is filed under the name Parabacteroides distasonis. Its description in RNAcentral is "bacterial SSU rRNA". It matches the Rfam family "Bacterial small subunit ribosomal RNA". The record is from RNAcentral. Lineage: Bacteria; Pseudomonadati; Bacteroidota; Bacteroidia; Bacteroidales; Tannerellaceae.
CAAUUUGAACAACGAAGAGUUUGAUCCUGGCUCAGGAUGAACGCUAGCGACAGGCUUAACACAUGCAAGUCGAGGGGCAGCGGGGUGUAGCAAUACGCCGCCGGCGACCGGCGCACGGGUGAGUAACGCGUAUGCAACUUGCCUAUCAGAGGGGGAUAACCCGGCGAAAGUCGGACUAAUACCGCAUGAAGCAGGGAUCCCGCAUGGGAAUAUUUGCUAAAGAUUCAUCGCUGAUAGAUAGGCAUGCGUUCCAUUAGGCAGUUGGCGGGGUAACGGCCCACCAAACCGACGAUGGAUAGGGGUUCUGAGAGGAAGGUCCCCCACACUGGUACUGAGACACGGACCAAACUCCUACGGGAGGCAGCAGUGAGGAAUAUUGGUCAAUGGGCGUAAGCCUGAACCAGCCAAGUCGCGUGAGGGAUGAAGGAUCUAUGGUUCGUAAACCUCUUUUAUAAGGGAAUAAAGUGCGGGACGCGUCCCGCUUCGCAUGUACCUUAUGAAUAAGGAUCGGCUAACUCCGUGCCAGCAGCCGCGGUAAUACGGAGGAUCCGAGCGUUAUCCGGAUUUAUUGGGUUUAAAGGGUGCGUAGGCGGCCUUUUAAGUCAGCGGUGAAAGUCUGUGGCUCAACCAUAGAAUUGCCGUUGAAACUGGGGGGCUUGAGUAUGUUUGAGGCAGGCGGAAUGCGUGGUGUAGCGGUGAAAUGCAUAGAUAUCACGCAGAACCCCGAUUGCGAAGGCAGCCUGCCAAGCCAUGACUGACGCUGAUGCACGAAAGCGUGGGGAUCGAACAGGAUUAGAUACCCUGGUAGUCCACGCAGUAAACGAUGAUCACUAGCUGUUUGCGAUACACGGUAAGCGGCACAGCGAAAGCGUUAAGUGAUCCACCUGGGGAGUACGCCGGCAACGGUGAAACUCAAAGGAAUUGACGGGGGCCCGCACAAGCGGAGGAACAUGUGGUUUAAUUCGAUGAUACGCGAGGAACCUUACCCGGGUUUGAACGCAUUCGGACCGAGGUGGAAACACCUUUUCUAGCAAUAGCCGUUUGCGAGGUGCUGCAUGGUUGUCGUCAGCUCGUGCCGUGAGGUGUCGGCUUAAGUGCCAUAACGAGCGCAACCCUUGCCGCCAGUUACUAACAGGUCAUGCUGAGGACUCUGGCGGGACUGCCAGCGUAAGCUGCGAGGAAGGCGGGGAUGACGUCAAAUCAGCACGGCCCUUACAUCCGGGGCGACACACGUGUUACAAUGGCGUGGACAAAGGGAUGCCACCUGGCGACAGGGAGCGAAUCCCCAAACCACGUCUCAGUUCGGAUCGGAGUCUGCAACCCGACUCCGUGAAGCUGGAUUCGCUAGUAAUCGCGCAUCAGCCAUGGCGCGGUGAAUACGUUCCCGGGCCUUGUACACACCGCCCGUCAAGCCAUGGGAGCCGGGGGUGCCUGAAGUCCGUAACCGCGAGGAUCGGCCUAGGGUAAAACUGGUGACUGGGGCUAAGUCGUAACAAGGUAGCCGUACCGGAAGGUGCGGCUGGAACACCUCCUUUCU